UUUCCGUAGGUGAACCUGCGGAAGGAUCAUUGUCGAAACCUGCCCAGCAGAACGACCUGCGAACUUGUAUAAACAACCGGGGGCGGGGGGCGUUCUCGCCCCGUGCCCCCGAACGGCGGGGAGACACUCGUGCCUUCUUGCCGAACAACGAACCCCGGCGCGGUCUGCGCCAAGGAACUUCAACUAAAGAGUGCCUCCGGUCGCCUCGGAAACGGCGUGCGUGCCGGGGGCGAAUCUUGUGCAAAACCAUAACGACUCUCGGCAACGGAUAUCUCGGCUCUC
This 282-nucleotide unclassified non-coding RNA is filed under the name plant metagenome. RNAcentral describes it as "partial contains small subunit ribosomal RNA, internal transcribed spacer 1, and 5.8S ribosomal RNA". The record is from RNAcentral.